CCCUUAGAUGUUCUGGGCCGCACGCGCGCUACACUGAUGCAUUCAACGAGCCUAGCCUUGACCGAGAGGUCCGGGUAAUCUUUGAAACUGCAUCGUGAUGGGGCUAGAUUAUUGCAAUUAUUAAUCUUCAACGAGGAAUGCCUAGUAAGCGUGAUUCAUCAAAUCGCGUUGAUUACGUCCCUGCCCUUUGUACACACCGCCCGUCGCUCCUACCGAUUGAGUGUGUUGGUGAGGAGUUCGGAUUGGCUCUUAGUGGUGGUUCGCCACCACCUAGGGCUGAGAAGUUCUCCAAACCGCCCCACUUAGAGGAAGGAGAAGUCGUAACA
This 326-nucleotide ribosomal RNA is filed under the name uncultured eukaryote. RNAcentral describes it as "partial 18S ribosomal RNA". It matches the Rfam family "Eukaryotic small subunit ribosomal RNA", at positions 1470 to 1796 of the family's 1831-position model. The record is from RNAcentral.